AGUCCUGCCUUCGACCUUCAACGUGGCUGGUCUCCUCUCAGGUUCCUGGAAGGAGAUGGAGGGAGGUGAAACCUGAGAAAGGAAUACAGGGAGAGAGGUCGGCUCAACCCCGGGGGCUCUUUCUUCCGGCCUUCUUCUGAGGCUUCUCAUCUUCCUCACAUUGGUACAAGAAAUCUUCAAGGGACUGAUAACAGGCCCAGUUCGGCUGAUUACCAGUAAACACACAAAGCCUCAUCCGAAAUCAGCAGCUGCUCACACUGGAGAUGAAGCCAUGAGCCCCUGUGAGCAUCACGUCAUCCCCAAGUGUACAGGAUGCAGACAAGAGCCAGUGUGUGGUCUGACGUCAAUGAAUUCUACCCUGUGUAAGUCAGUGACCCUGGCUGAGCUUUGUGGACGGAGCACCGUGACACCGGGGCAGAUCCUAGAGACACCUACAGGACCACCACUGUCCUCAAGAGCCCCAAAGGCCAGAUGCUAUCUGAAAUAAAACUGCCUGGCAAUGGCAUUGUGAACUUCCAGCACCUUCCUCACAGCACCGGAGUUUGACAGCAGCUGGCCCCCGAUCCUCAGCCCUUAGCUGCUAUGCUUUGCUGGCGUGUUGGGGUAGACAGUAUGUGGCGACAGAAACUGCAAGCACCCUGGGGCACACAGAAGCCAUCCUAGGUGGGACCUGCCUAUUUUUAAUUGAGCCGUUUACUCUUUUGUUAAUGAGUUGCCUGGAUUGUAUAUGUACUCUAGCCAUGAAUCCUGUAUUCCAUAAUUAUUCAGUGUGUGUAUAUGUGUAGUGUUUGCAUAAGCAUAAGCACACAUGUAUGUGCAGGUGUGGGUACAUACGAAGGCUAGAGAUUGAUAACAGGAUGUUUUCCAUUGACCUUCACCUCUCUUUCUGUCUCUCUUUCUGACUGUCUCUCUCUUUCUUUUCCUUUCUUCCUUCUUUCUCUCUCUCUCUUUUUCUUUUCUUUUUGAAACAGGGUUUCUCCAAGUAGCCCUGGCUGUCCUCCUGAAGUUCAUUGUGUAGAUCAGGCUGGCCUCAGACUCACAGAGAUCUGCCUGCCUCUGCCUCUUGAGUACUGGGAUUAAAGGUGUGUGAUACCA
Mus musculus (house mouse) is the source of this 1095-nucleotide long non-coding RNA. RefSeq annotates it as predicted gene 13832. The transcript has 4 exons. NCBI's taxonomy places the organism in Eukaryota, Metazoa, Chordata, Mammalia, Rodentia, Muridae. The record is from RefSeq and is marked validated.